This 981-nucleotide long non-coding RNA is filed under the name Panax ginseng (ginseng). Its description in RNAcentral is "long non-coding RNA (PGIN_LNC002461)". Lineage: Eukaryota; Viridiplantae; Streptophyta; Magnoliopsida; Apiales; Araliaceae. The record is from RNAcentral.
GCAAAAUGGUCAAACAACAAAUUAACAAAUUAAAAGACUAUUAACAAAUUAACAUUACGAUCAAAUAAAUAGUUGCAGAUUAUUAGAUUGCUCAAUUGGUUCUCACGAAUAUGAAGCAUUUCAAUUCUUGUUGGGUAAAUUCUAAUUUCGAAUCCAUUAUAUAAACAAUCUCUUAAUAAAAGACUAAAUCAUUAAUUUUUCUCCCAUCUUCAUUCAGAGUACUGUUCGUCCUCUUCACAAAUUUAUCUUCAUGCAUUUCUUUUUUGCGAUUUUGUUGGUACAAUCUGUACCUUUUUGGGAUUUAGAUAUCGUAAAGGGAGGAGUGAUUUUGGAAAAAAAUUCUCGUAAAGUAGAGAAAUGGAGAUCGCAGUUUGUGAGGAAGAGGAAGGCGAUUUUGGGUCGUAGAUUGGUGGUGUUGACGGAGGGGAAGGUAGCUUUUUGGAAGACAGAGGUCGUCGGGAGGGAAUCUCUUCCUUCUGAGCAAAUUGCUUUAAGGGCCAACCUUUGCUUCCAUGAGUCCAAAGAGACUCAGCAAAAACAUACCAGAGUAUGAGCAGAGAUGCUUCUUCGAAAUGUCCAGAUUUCUCAAGAAGAUCAGACUUACGUCGAAGAUCCCCUUUUCUGUUGUGCAAUAUCUGCAGCUUCUAAGAAGUUUCCUUUUUCCUCUUCCAACAACAUAAGGUCAUCAAGACAAUUUAAAUGUUUCAAGAAGUCACGCAUCAAGUCAAUUGAUUGAAAAGCUUCGAAGAGGAAGAUGAUGGGGAUUUGAAUUUUCAUUUUCUUGCGGAUUUAGAGGUGAAUUUCAUUUGAUGGGGAUUAUGUUAGGUUUUUGAUAAGAUUUUGAAUUUUAUCAGAGGGAGAAAGAGGUUUUUAUAAUUUGUUAAUGGUAAUUUGUUGUUUGAUCAUUUUGCCCCUUAUUAAAUUAGAUUUGUUUAUUUUAUGAUUAAAAAACUAUUUUUUUUGCCACAUCAGCUUCUUAAG